GUUUGUUUCUGAGACUGAACACACCAGAUCUCAUCUGAUCUGCAAAGUUAAGCAGGGUUGGGCCUGGUUAGUAUGUGGAUGGGAGACUACCUGGGAAUACCACGUGCUGUAAGCU
Amphiprion percula (orange clownfish) is the source of this 115-nucleotide ribosomal RNA. The record is from Ensembl. Lineage: Eukaryota; Metazoa; Chordata; Actinopteri; Pomacentridae.